CCUACGGGCGGCUGCGGUGGGGAAUAUUGGACAAUGGGGGGAACCCUGAUCCAGCCAUGCCGCGUGUGUGAAGAAGGCCCUCGGGUUGUAAAGCACUUUCAGUGAGGAAGAACGCCUGGUGGUUAAUACCCAUCAGGAAAGACAUCACUCACAGAAGAAGCACCGGCUAACUCCGUGCCAGCAGCCGCGGUAAUACGGAGGGUGCGAGCGUUAAUCGGAAUUACUGGGCGUAAAGCGCGCGUAGGUGGCUGGAUAAGCCGGUUGUGAAAGCCCCGGGCUCAACCUGGGAACGGCAUCCGGAACUGUCAAGCUAGAGUGCAGGAGAGGAAGGUAGAAUUCCCGGUGUAGCGGUGAAAUGCGUAGAGAUCGGGAGGAAUACCAGUGGCGAAGGCGGCCUUCUGGACUGACACUGACACUGAGGUGCGAAAGCGUGGGUAGCAAACAGGAUUAGAUACCCCGGUAGUC
This 465-nucleotide ribosomal RNA is filed under the name Vreelandella stevensii. Its description in RNAcentral is "partial 16S ribosomal RNA". It matches the Rfam family "Bacterial small subunit ribosomal RNA", at positions 338 to 795 of the family's 1533-position model. The record is from RNAcentral. Lineage: Bacteria; Pseudomonadati; Pseudomonadota; Gammaproteobacteria; Oceanospirillales; Halomonadaceae.